This 1014-nucleotide ribosomal RNA is filed under the name Triticum aestivum (bread wheat). RNAcentral's name for it is "partial small subunit ribosomal RNA". Lineage: Eukaryota; Viridiplantae; Streptophyta; Magnoliopsida; Poales; Poaceae. The record is from RNAcentral.
AUGGCGGCCAGAGCAGCUGCGGCCGUGGCCGUCGUGGCCUUGGUCUGCGCAGUGCAGUCGUCCCUCUCAGGGGCAGCCGUCCCGGGCCUGUCCCCUGGCUUCUACAAGACGACCUGCCCACGGCUGGAGCAAAUCGUGAACGCCCAAGUGACGGCGACCUUCAACAAUGACCAAGGUGUCGCUCCCGCCCUCCUGCGCAUCCUCUUCCACGACUGCUUUACGCAGGGCUGCGACGCGUCGGUGCUCAUCAAAGGCCGCGGCAGCGAGCAGAUCCCCGGCGGACCCAACGGGACUCUCCGCCGCGUGGCUCUGGACCUCAUCGAUCGCAUCCACCGCGAGGCCCAAGCUGCCUGCCCUCGGGUGGUCUCAUGCGCCGACGUUACCGUGCUCGCUACCCGCGACGCGCUGUUCAAGGCCGGCGGUCCCCGUUUCAACGUCGACCUGGGCCGGCUUGACUCGUUCGCCCCGGCGCCAGAUAAGGUUAACGACCUGCCCUCGCCCUUCGACGGCGCGGACAGGCACAUCCAGGCCUUCAAGGCCCGCAAACUCAGCACCGAUGACCUGGUUUCCCUCUCCGGCGCGCACACCUUCGGCGUGGCCCACUGCGGGGUCAUCGCACCCCGGGGCACCCCGUCCAUGGAUCCCCAGCUCGCCGAGAAGCUACGGAAGACGUGCACCAAACCCACGGCAACAACCACGCAAGACCUCGACGUCCUCACGCCGCACGUCUUCGACAACAAGUACUACCAGGGCCUGACCCAGAAGAAGGGGAUGUUCCUGUCCGACCAGUCGCUCAUCGACCACCCGCUCACCAAGAACCUCGCCCUCACCUUCUCCAAAAACCAGACAGCCUUCUUCAUCGAGUUCGCCAAGUCGAUGACCAAGAUGACCGAGAUGGGUGUGAUCACCAGCAAGCUGCAGGGCGAGGUCCGGGCCGACUGCACCGUCGCAGGGAAGCCCCCCCGCAUCGAGGCCGCCACCGCCGCCGACCAGGGGUUCACGGCCGACAUGUAA